Drosophila willistoni is the source of this 467-nucleotide long non-coding RNA. RefSeq lists it as uncharacterized. NCBI's taxonomy places the organism in Eukaryota, Metazoa, Arthropoda, Insecta, Diptera, Drosophilidae. The transcript is spliced from 3 exons. The record is from RefSeq and is a predicted model, not a curated record.
GCCCCUAAUUCAAAAUCUUAUAAAUUAAAUUUGUACCAAAAUGUGAACAAUUUCUGCGUCAAUUAAGACAACACAGUUUUGUCUGUGUAAGUUGCCUUUGGUUGACGAAAAGAGGCGACAAACUACCAUUCCCUCUCGCUUGCACCCUCAAUCAUGAUCAAAUGAAACGGGACACUUUUUCGUACAUGCUAACCGGUGUCAUCGAUAUACAUAAAAGACUUCAAAAUCACUUGAAAAUAUUUCAUACAUAGAUAUGUACACAUGUGUGUGUGCGUAAGCUUAUGAAAAUAAGUAAUUUUGCAUUAUUAAUGAAAAAAAGUUUCAGAUUUUUAACACCACUAGAAGUAUUUUUGGCCGCUCGCUCCAUACAAGCCCGACCACUGUGAGAUGGUACAAAACUGCAAUGCUCAAUAUCAUGUGGAGUGGAGUAAGGAAAAAUAAGUCUUCUCCUCUUUGAAUUCCAGAAA